Long non-coding RNA from Hypanus sabinus (Atlantic stingray), 3728 nucleotides. RefSeq lists it as uncharacterized. The transcript is spliced from 3 exons. Lineage: Eukaryota; Metazoa; Chordata; Chondrichthyes; Myliobatiformes; Dasyatidae. The record is from RefSeq and is a predicted model, not a curated record.
AUUCCCCUGCAACUCUAGUUUAAAUUCCACCCCCCCCCCACCUCAAUAUGUGGAUAAUGACCUCUGACUGCCCUCCCUCCUCAUUAAGAAUGCUGUGGAGUCGAUCCAAGAUGUCCCCAACUCUGGCACCCGGGGGGCAACAAACCAUCCAGGAAUCUCAUUCUCGUCCACAGAACCUCCUUUCUGUUCCCCUAACCAACAAAUGCCCUAUCAAUAAAGCUCACCUCUUCUCCCCCUUCCCUCUGCGGCACAGAGCCAGACUCAGUGCCAGAGACCUGACUGCUAUGGUUUUUCUCUGCUAGGUCAUCCACCCCAACGGUAUCCGAGAGUGAUAUACCUGUCAUCGAGGGAACGUCCACAGGGAUACUCUGCACUGGCUGUCUAUCCCCUUUCCCCCUCCUGAAGGUCACCCAAGAUGUUUCCUACACCUUGCAUGCAACUGCCUCCCUGCGUAUCACUCCCUCAGCCUCCCAAAUGAUCCAGAGUUCAUGUAGUUGCAGCUCCAACUCCUUAACAUGGUCUGUUAGAAGCUGCAGCACAAGAGGAUGCACUCCUUGUGGGUCUGGUCCCUGCAAUCCCACAUCCCACAAGAGCAUUCCAGUACCCUGCCUAGCAUCCCCACUGCUUUAAAUGUGCAAUAAGAAAAAAAUAAAGAAAAAAUAACAAAAGAAAAAAUCUGAAGUCUCGAUGAGCCAAAGCCCCAACUCCCCACUCCAAUACUGGCCCGCUCGAACUAUGGCCGAUCCACUUAAAUCUAACUUCUUUUUAUUGGUGCUUGCCAAAAGCCUAAUCUGUCUCCUCAGGAACUGAGAUGCAUAAGAAGUGCCAACUGCCCCCAGUCGCUUCUUUUAAACUCUACCCCUUUGGUGUCUCCUCCGGACUGUGCCACGCAAAAUAUACAAGUCCUAUGCUAGAUUGACUUUCCAGAAUUAUUCGCCUCACGCUGGUCUGUAUAGAAAUCCAUCUGGCCCACUCAGCCCACUUCCCCAACUAAUAAAGCUCCCUCUGUAACUUUUUAGCAACCUCCUUCACUUCCAACAAUACGUCCUAAUUUUGUGGCUACUGCAAACUUACUGAUUUUCUUUUGUGCAUUGGCAACCAUAAUCAUUUAUAUAAAUAAAAAAUAAGAAUGAUCCUAACAUAGCACUAGUUAUCAGUCUCCUUGCCGAGAAAAACCUUUCAACCACUACCCUUUGCUUCCUACCUCCGAGCCCAUUUUGAAUCCACCUAUUCUCUCACAUACCUAAUCAAUUUACCCUAGUUUCUAUCAAGCAUAAAGAAAAGCCACGUCUCUUUGGGAUGGGGGAAGGAACCAGAGCACCAGGGAGAAAGCUAAGCAAGUCACUGGGAGAAUGUUGCAAAUUUUGUACAGACACCAGUAAAUUGGAUUACUGUGAGUAGGUACCAGGGGUAGCGUGGAUCUGGUGGGGUGAACAGCCCAUUUCUAUGCGUUGCUUCUCACUGCAAUUCUUUCCAAAGCAUUGAAAACAUCGUAUGCUCUAGUUCAAUGGUAUUUGAAACCCAUCAGUCUCAGUACUUGCUCAAGACUGGUAAUUUGUAAAAACCCUGUUUCCAAUGAUAUCUGUUUGCUUGUCGUUCAGCAUUUAAACAUUUCUCCGAACUCAGCUUGCUGGCAGCAACUUUGCUAUUUAUUUAAAAGAAAGAACUUGGAUGGCCUCAGCCUGCCCCCAAUGUCCUUCAUGGCAAAUGAAUUACUUUGGAAUGUUGUCAGUGUCGUCAAGUGAGCAAAUACGGUGGCCAAUUUAUGCUGCAAGGGAAGAGAGAUGAAUGGUAAAUUAAAUUGUUUUGUAAGAGCAUUCAAGGGGAAAAUGUUUUUCAGGCCACUGGGAGAAUAUCCCCAUUCUGUUGUGAAUCAUUCCAUGGGAACUUGUAUGGCCCCUGAGAUAGACCAAGCUCGAAAUGCUCAAAGGUGGGGGAGUGGUUCUACCGAACAAAUCAAAUGGAAAGGGAUCAAGAGGAACACGUUACGACGUGGCAGAUGAAGAUGAAUUGGAAUUUCAAAGUCGUUAUGCUGAAGCUCAAGGGCAUGUGAAUGAACGAUGUAGGCACUUCUUUUCAUUUCUCCCUAUCUGUUUGGUCUUUCCAUGGCAUGAACUCCACGCUCGCAAAAGCAGAGUCAACUUGUGAUCCUUUAGCUCCUCGGUGACCUGAAAGAACCUUCAACAGGUUUGGUGUUAACCAUUUCCUCAAUGGUCAAUCAUUAAACUUGUUCAGAGUGACACACACAAAAUGAAGAUGAUGAAAGGUUUCGGCCUGAAACGUCGACUAUUUAUUCCUCUCCAUAGGUGCUGCUUGAGCUGCUGAGUUCCUCCAGCAUUUUGUACGCAUUACUCUGGAUUUCCAGCAUCUGCAGAAUCUCUUGUGCUUACUGCAGUGGCUUACUUUUCUUUUCACCAGCAUGUCACUGAUAAGUCAUCAAGUUCCGCAGCACAGAAAGGGGCCUCUGGACUAACCAUGUGCACAAGAAUAUUUUUGUCCGGAUACACAAAUCCUAUCUGCCCACAUUAGGGCAGUGGUCUUCUAUCCCUUGCCUAUUUCUGUCUACUUAAACAGCUCUUAAGGGUUGUUAACCCAACUGACACAUUCCACUGUAGGUUUUGAUGUACACAUGACAAAUAAACUUGAGUCUUAAAUGAAGUAUCUACUUCUACUAUUUCCAUUCACUUCACUGCGCCUUCUAAAUAUCAACCACUUUCUGUUAUUAAAAAAACCCUCAGACUCCUUUUAAAACUCCCACUUGAUACCUUAAACCUAAAAGCCAUCUUGUUCUUCACACACUUACCAUAAGAAAACUUAUUUGACUAUCUGUCCUGCCUUUGCAAAACAUAAUCAUACAUGAUUCCAUCAAGUCACCCCUCAGCCCACUUUUGUUCCCAUAACUGAAGUCCUCCAACCCAGGCAUCAUCCUGGCGAAUCUCCCCUGCACCCUCUCCAGUGUAAUCUCAUUCUUUCCAUUUUUGUGGAAACCAGGACUUCACUCAAUUUUCCCAAGUGCAGUCUAGCUAAUGGUUUGUAAAGUAGUUAAAAUUUGUUGUUUAACAGGGUUGCUUGUAGGGCAUUUUGGCCCCUUCAGUGGAUGUGGAGUAACACCCAGACCAGAGUGAGGAAAAGGGGCAGAUUUACCCCUUGAAGGAGAGUAGAAAAUCAAAUCGGUUUUAAUGAUGGUCUUGCAGAAUUAUGACCUCAAAAAUACCUAUUAGUUUUUUUAUUAGCACAAUUUAAAUUAAACAUCUAUCUGGAGGGGCAUGAAUUCAUGUCUCUGAAUUAAUAGUCUGGUAAUAGCCUGCUAUCCUUGAAUACCCAAUACAUCAAAUACUUCCAAAUUUAUCUGUAUAGGAAAGUAUAGCCAUUAACUAAUGCAGCAUCAAAAGUCCCACAUGACAAGCCUUUCCCAGUGCAGAAAGCAAUGAAAAGUUUUGCUAACUGUUGCUUCUUCAAUGAAUUACAUAGUCUGUCUUUGCCAUUAUGGAGGCCAUCUUGUGAAAACCCAGAUCACAUAACAAGAUAGGCAACCUUUGGUUUGUUGUCUUUGGUUGCAGAUGCAAUAUUGGAUGAUGCAUCAGGUGAGCUACCUGCCCUGGCAAUGCAGCUUUGUAAAGGAUGACAAGAUGAUGUGGUGAGGCAUAGAGUGGGGUUCAAUCCCACUAAUGGAGCCAAACUGACGAAGUGUACUAAUGAUAAUGGUUGAUGCAUUUCCAGGAAUUCUA